CCACACACGAUCCAAGAUCGACACUUUUUGUGAACUGUUAAACAAAGUUAAAGUUUUGUUUUGGUCGAGAAACAAGUAGUGCAAACUACUGACAUAUCUGCCGAAGCAACAACUUUAAUUUAUAUAUACAAACACCAAAAAACGAAAAUGAAUUAUACAUUGGAACUUAAAUGUUAUCAUAGAGUUCGUCUCUAUAUAACGCUAGAUAUAAUUGUAAAAA
RNAcentral lists this unclassified non-coding RNA (220 nucleotides) under uncultured fungus. RNAcentral's name for it is "sequence contains ITS1, 5.8S rRNA gene". The record is from RNAcentral. Lineage: Eukaryota; Fungi.